Molecule: ribosomal RNA, 260 nt
Filed under: uncultured bacterium
Lineage: Bacteria
Description: partial 16S ribosomal RNA
Rfam family: Bacterial small subunit ribosomal RNA
Source: RNAcentral
UACGAAGGGUGCAAGCGUUACUCGGAAUUACUGGGCGUAAAGCGUGCGUAGGCGGUUUGUUAAGUCCGUUGUGAAAGCCCUGGGCUCAACCUGGGAAUUGCAGUGGAUACUGGCGAGCUAGAGUGCGGUAGAGGAUGGUGGAAUUCCCGGUGUAGCGGUGAAAAUGCGUAGAUAUCGGGGAGGAACACCGGGUGGCGAAGGCGGGGUCUCUGGGGCAUCUCCUGACGCUGAGGGCGCGAAAACGUGGGGGACAAACGGGG